UACGUAGGGUGCGAGCGUUGUCCGGAAUUAUUGGGCGUAAAGAGCUUGUAGGCGGUUUGUCGCGUCUGCCGUGAAAAUCCGGGGCUCAACCCCGGACUUGCGGUGGGUACGGGCAGACUAGAGUGUGGUAGGGGAGACUGGAAUUCCUGGUGUAGCGGUGAAAUGCGUAGAUAUCCGGAGGAAUACCAAAGGCGAAGGCAGUGUCCUGGAGGGUGACUGACGCUGAGGCGCGAAAGCUAGGGGAGCGAACAGG
This 253-nucleotide ribosomal RNA is filed under the name uncultured bacterium. Its description in RNAcentral is "partial 16S ribosomal RNA". It matches the Rfam family "Bacterial small subunit ribosomal RNA", at positions 524 to 776 of the family's 1533-position model. The record is from RNAcentral.